UAGGGAAUCUUCGGCAAUGGACGAAAGUCUGACCGAGCAACGCCGCGUGAGUGAAGAAGGUUUUCGGAUCGUAAAACUCUGUUGUUAGAGAAGAACAAGUAGGAGAGUAACUGCUCUUACCUUGACGGUAUCUAACCAGAAAGCCACGGCUAACUACGUGCCAGCAGCCGCGGUAAUACGUAGGUGGCAAGCGUUAUCCGGAUUUAUUGGGCGUAAAGCGAGCGCAGGCGGUUUCUUAAGUCUGAUGUGAAAGCCCCCGGCUCAACCGGGGAGGGUCAUUGGAAACUGGGAGACUUGAGUGCAGAAGAGGAGAGUGGAAUUCCAUGUGUAGCGGUGAAAUGCGUAGAUAUAUGGAGGAACACCAGUGGCGAAGGCGACUCUCUGGUCUGUAACUGACGCUGAGGCUCGAAAGCGUGGGGAGCAAACA
RNAcentral lists this ribosomal RNA (427 nucleotides) under uncultured bacterium. RNAcentral describes it as "bacterial SSU rRNA". It matches the Rfam family "Bacterial small subunit ribosomal RNA", at positions 355 to 774 of the family's 1533-position model. The record is from RNAcentral.